AGGUGGAGCAGUGCAAAAGAGAUAUCGCUCAGCCCGUCACACGUAUCAGCGCACACGUCAACAUUACUAAAUACAGUGUUCCGGCGCUACAGGUGGCCAUCAGGGAGUACGGACCGGCCGUGGUCAUCGUGGACUCGUCAGCGAAGAGCUUUCAAUUUUAUAAGAAAGGAGUUCUCUAUGAUGAUCGUUGUUCCAAGAAAAGUUCAAAACACGCAGUUUUAGCAGUGGGUUGGAGCCAAAAGAAAGGCGAGCCGUACUUUAUA
This is a long non-coding RNA of Nymphalis io (European peacock), 263 nucleotides long. RefSeq lists it as uncharacterized. NCBI's taxonomy places the organism in Eukaryota, Metazoa, Arthropoda, Insecta, Lepidoptera, Nymphalidae. The record is from RefSeq and is a predicted model, not a curated record. The transcript has 3 exons.